UUUAUUUUUUUUAUUUUUUUUCCAAUAUCUAUACUAACAGAUGAGCCUAUAAUUUCAGUUAACCAUGCAACUGUAGGAAGCGAAACUAUGCAAGAUGAUAUUACCACUCUCUCUUAAUAAAAUGCUAUCAGUGAAAACAAUUAUUCACCAAUUCAAUCUAUUCAUGAUGAUAUUACCACUCUCACUCAAGAAGAAGCUGCUAUCAGUGAAAACAAUUAUUCUAUAAUCUAUGCAAGAUGAUAUUACCACUCUCACUCAAGAAGCUGCUAUCAGUGAAAACAACUAUUCACCAAUUCAAUCUAUUGAAGAUGAUAUUAUCACUCUCAAUCAAGAAGCUACUAUCAGUGAAAACAAUUAUUCACCAAUGUAAAAUACAAUAAUAC
Long non-coding RNA from Gordionus sp. m RMFG-2023, 383 nucleotides. RefSeq lists it as uncharacterized. The record is from RefSeq and is a predicted model, not a curated record. The transcript has 5 exons. NCBI's taxonomy places the organism in Eukaryota, Metazoa, Nematomorpha, Gordioida, Chordodea, Parachordodidae.